This 84-nucleotide transfer RNA is filed under the name Caudoviricetes sp. RNAcentral's name for it is "tRNA-Tyr". It matches the Rfam family "tRNA". From Rfam's summary of the family: Transfer RNA (tRNA) molecules are approximately 80 nucleotides in length. Their secondary structure includes four short double-helical elements and three loops (D, anti-codon, and T loops). Further hydrogen bonds mediate the characteristic L-shaped molecular structure. tRNAs have two regions of fundamental functional importance: the anti-codon, which is responsible for specific mRNA codon recognition, and the 3' end, to which the tRNAs corresponding amino acid is attached (by aminoacyl-tRNA synthetases). tRNAs cope with the degeneracy of the genetic code in two manners: having more than one tRNA (with a specific anti-codon) for a particular amino acid; and 'wobble' base-pairing, i.e. permitting non-standard base-pairing at the 3rd anti-codon position. The record is from RNAcentral. Lineage: Duplodnaviria; Heunggongvirae; Uroviricota; Caudoviricetes.
GGGGAGAUAGAUCGUAAUUAGUAGCGGGGCGGACUGUAAAUCCGUUGCCUUCGGGCCUUUCUGGUGCAAGUCCAGCUCUCCCCA